UUCCUUACUCGUCACUGGUGCAAAACCACU
This 30-nucleotide non-coding RNA is filed under the name Rattus norvegicus (Norway rat). Lineage: Eukaryota; Metazoa; Chordata; Mammalia; Rodentia; Muridae. The record is from RNAcentral.